ACUUAAGCAUAUCACUAAGCGGAGGAAAAGAAACUAACUAGGAUUCCCCCAGUAACUGCGAGUGAAGAGGGAAGAGCUCAUCAUUGGAAUCUGGCAGCGUUGCGCUGUCCGAGUUGUAGAUGAGAAGAGUAGGCCAUCUGGGCUGCAUGGUGUCCAAGUACAAUAGGCCGUCAGUGGGACAUCAUAGAGGGUGACAAUCCCGUCCUUGACACCAAUGUACGAGUCCUUUACGAUGCCUAUCUCGGAGAGUCGAGCAGUUUGGGAUUUGCUGCUUAAACAUGGGAGGUAGAUUCCUUCCAAAGCUAAAUACAGGCAAGAGACCGAUAGAGAACAAGUACCGCAAGGGAAAGAUGAAAUAGAACUCUGUGAAGGGAGUCAAAAGACGUGAAAUUGUUGCGAGAGAAGCGAUUCAAGUCAGCGUAGCUGGGCCCAUCAAGCCUCGCGCUUUGGACCAGCUUUGCCAGCGGUCUUGUCCCUAGAGACUUGACUAAGGUGCCCUGCCCGGUCUAACGGGCAGACCUCCCCUGGAGGCCAGUGGCAUGGCUGGUGGAAUGGCUUGCAAUCGACCCGUCUUGAAACACGGACCAAGGAGUCUAACAUGCAUGCGAGUAUAAGGGUGGCAAACCCGUAUGCGCAAAGAAAGUGAUAGCCUUUUAUGGCCGAGAAUGACCUGAUGACCAGACAAGCAAUAUUAUGUCCCUCGUACGGUCAUUGCCCAAGUCCCAUGGUCAGAUCCCAUGGACAUGGAGUUGGAGCGUGCAUGCUAGGACCCGAAAGAUGGUGAACUAUGCCUGGACAAAGCGAAGCCAAAGGAAACUCUGGUGGAGGCUUGUAGCGAUUCUGACGUGCAAAUCGAUCGUCUGAUCUGGGUAUAGGGGCGAAAGACUAAUCGAACCAUCUCAUAGCUGGUUCCUGCCGAAGUCUCCCUCCAGGGAUA
The sequence is a ribosomal RNA, 937 nucleotides long. It matches the Rfam family "Eukaryotic large subunit ribosomal RNA", at positions 32 to 980 of the family's 3401-position model.